UAACUGGAGGGCUUUCUCCUAUUCCUGC
This 28-nucleotide small RNA is filed under the name Bombyx mori (domestic silkworm). RNAcentral's name for it is "ovarian small RNA-19023". The record is from RNAcentral. Lineage: Eukaryota; Metazoa; Arthropoda; Insecta; Lepidoptera; Bombycidae.